This is a long non-coding RNA of Eleginops maclovinus (Patagonian blennie), 361 nucleotides long. RefSeq lists it as uncharacterized. Lineage: Eukaryota; Metazoa; Chordata; Actinopteri; Perciformes; Eleginopidae. The transcript has 3 exons. The record is from RefSeq and is a predicted model, not a curated record.
CAUGACCUGCUCCGCUGGCUCGCGGACCGACAGCCGACUCCUCCUGCUCUGCUUCAAUCUGUAUUCAGCAUUUCAGCCGGAGACAUGAUAGGAAAAUUCAGAGGUCUGUGGCGAGGAUAACCUCAAUUAAACCCAGCCGGAUACCCGCACAGAGAUUACACGGAGGUGGGAGUGUAGCUGUCGAUGCUGGACUCCCUGAUCACCCGGUAUUAGGAUCUGAGAGGCUGGGAGACACCGACCCGACAUGAUGGCCUCCAGCGACGUGGACACCAGAGAAGGUAAUGAAGGUUCUUUGUUCUCGGACCAAAAUCCCUCAGAAAUGGACGCUCUGUGUCCCUCUCCUCCUGGACCUACCCGAACC